AGCAGCCGCGGUAAUUCCAGCUCCAAUAGCGUAUAUUAAAGUUGUUGCAGUUAAAAAGCUCGUAGUUGAACUUCGGGGUUCACUCAUUGGUCAGGCUUAAUUGUCUGUACUGGUGAGAUGAAUCUCUACCUUCUGAGGAACUUUCAUACCAUUUAUUUGGUGUAAUGGGAAAUCAGGACUGUUACUUUGAAAAAAUUAGAGUGUUUAAAGCAGGCUCACGUCUGAAUACAUUAGCAUGGAAUAAUGAAAUAGGACGGAUUGAUUCUAUUUCGUUGGUUUCUAGGAUCACCGUAAUGAUUAAUAGGGAUAGUUGGGGCAACAUUCGACAUCCGAUUCUAUUUUGUUGGUUUCUAGGAUCACCGUA
Molecule: ribosomal RNA, 364 nt
Filed under: Diversispora spurca
Lineage: Eukaryota; Fungi; Glomeromycota; Glomeromycetes; Diversisporales; Diversisporaceae
Description: SSU rRNA
Rfam family: Eukaryotic small subunit ribosomal RNA
Source: RNAcentral